This 440-nucleotide ribosomal RNA is filed under the name uncultured Prevotella sp. Its description in RNAcentral is "bacterial SSU rRNA". It matches the Rfam family "Bacterial small subunit ribosomal RNA", at positions 355 to 792 of the family's 1533-position model. Lineage: Bacteria; Pseudomonadati; Bacteroidota; Bacteroidia; Bacteroidales; Prevotellaceae. The record is from RNAcentral.
GGAUGAAUAUUGGUCAAUGGACGGAAGUCUGAACCAGCCAAGUAGCGUGCAGGAUGACGGCCCUAUGGGUUGUAAACUGCUUUUAUGUGGGAAUAAAGUGAGGGACGUGUCCCUUUUUGUAGGUACCACAUGAAUAAGGACCGGCUAAUUCCGUGCCAGCAGCCGCGGUAAUACGGAAGGUCCGGGCGUUAUCCGGAUUUAUUGGGUUUAAAGGGAGCGUAGGCCGUCGGGCAAGCGUGUUGUGAAAUGCAGUCGCUCAACGUCUGCACUGCAGCGCGAACUGCCCGGCUUGAGUGCGCGCAACGUUGGCGGAAUUCGCCGUGUAGCGGUGAAAUGCUUAGAUAUCACGAAGAACUCCGAUUGCGAAGGCAGCUCACGGGAGCGCAACUGACGCUGAAGCUCGAAAGUGCGGGUAUCGAACAGGAUUAGAUACCCUGGUA